Molecule: microRNA precursor, 67 nt
Filed under: Bombyx mori (domestic silkworm)
Lineage: Eukaryota; Metazoa; Arthropoda; Insecta; Lepidoptera; Bombycidae
Description: mir-2774 microRNA precursor family
Rfam family: mir-2774 microRNA precursor family
Source: Rfam by way of RNAcentral
ACAACGUUCGGACCGUCGGUCUACCGAGCAAUAUCACCCGCUCAGUGGAAGAUCUUCCCUUUGUCUU